RNAcentral lists this ribosomal RNA (976 nucleotides) under uncultured bacterium. RNAcentral's name for it is "bacterial SSU rRNA". It matches the Rfam family "Bacterial small subunit ribosomal RNA", at positions 8 to 974 of the family's 1533-position model. The record is from RNAcentral.
AGAGUUUGAUCCUGGCUCAGAUUGAACGCUAGCGGGAUGCUUUACACAUGCAAGUCGGACGGCAGCGCGGACUUCGGUCUGGCGGCGAGUGGCGAACGGGUGAGUAAUGUAUCGGAACGUGCCCAGUAGCGGGGGAUAACCACUCGAAAGAGUGGCUAAUACCGCAUACGCCCUACGGGGGAAAGCGGGGGACCUUCGGGCCUCGCACUAUUGGAGCGGCCGAUAUCGGAUUAGCUAGUUGGUGGGGUAAAGGCCUACCAAGGCGACGAUCCGUAGCUGGUUUGAGAGGACGACCAGCCACACUGGGACUGAGACACGGCCCAGACUCCUACGGGAGGCAGCAGUGGGGAAUUUUGGACAAUGGGGGCAACCCUGAUCCAGCCAUCCCGCGUGUGCGAUGAAGGCCUUCGGGUUGUAAAGCACUUUUGGCAGGGAAGAAACGGCUCUGGCUAAUACCUGGAGCUACUGACGGUACCUGCAGAAUAAGCACCGGCUAACUACGUGCCAGCAGCCGCGGUAAUACGUAGGGUGCAAGCGUUAAUCGGAAUUACUGGGCGUAAAGCGUGCGCAGGCGGUUCGGAAAGAAGGAUGUGAAAUCCCAGGGCUUAACCUUGGAAUGGCAUUCUUAACUACCGGGCUAGAGUAUGUCAGAGGGGGGUAGAAUUCCACGUGUAGCAGUGAAAUGCGUAGAGAUGUGGAGGAAUACCGAUGGCGAAGCAGCCCCCUGGGAUAAUACUGACGCUCAUGCACGAAAGCGUGGGGAGCAAACAGGAUUAGAUUACCCUGGUAGUCCACGCCCUAAACGAUGUCACCUAGCUGUUGGGGCCCUUCGGGCCUUAGUAGCGCAGCUAACGCGUGAAGUUGACCGCCUGGGGAAGUACGGUCGCAAGAUUUAAACUCAAAGGAAUUGACGGGGAACCCCCACAAGCCGGGGGAAUGAUGGGGAUUAAUUUCGAUGCAACGCGAAAAACCUUAC